RNAcentral lists this ribosomal RNA (195 nucleotides) under uncultured bacterium. Its description in RNAcentral is "partial 16S ribosomal RNA". It matches the Rfam family "Bacterial small subunit ribosomal RNA", at positions 1292 to 1500 of the family's 1533-position model. The record is from RNAcentral.
UUCGGAUUGUAGGCUGAAACUCGCCUACAUGAAGCUGGAAUUGCUAGUAAUCACAGGUCAGCAUACUGUGGUGAAUACGUUCCCGGGCCUUGUACACACCGCCCGUCACACCAUGAGAGUUGAGAAUACCCGAAGCCCAUGUCAAAGUGGUCGAAGGUAGGCUUGAUGAUUGGGGUGAAGUCGUAACAAGGUAAC